RNAcentral lists this ribosomal RNA (33 nucleotides) under Neofabraea malicorticis. RNAcentral describes it as "partial 28S ribosomal RNA". Lineage: Eukaryota; Fungi; Ascomycota; Leotiomycetes; Helotiales; Dermateaceae. The record is from RNAcentral.
AAGGUUGACCUCGGAUCAGGUAGGGAUACCAAG